Molecule: transfer RNA, 69 nt
Filed under: Ideopsis similis (Ceylon blue glassy tiger)
Lineage: Eukaryota; Metazoa; Arthropoda; Insecta; Lepidoptera; Nymphalidae
Also listed under: 1 other name
Description: tRNA-Trp
Source: RNAcentral
AAGGUUUUAAGUUAUUAUAAACUAUUAAUCUUCAAAAUUAAAUAUAUAGAAAUCUCUCUUUAAGCCUUA